RNA transcript from Aegilops tauschii subsp. strangulata, 2036 nucleotides. RefSeq lists it as uncharacterized. Lineage: Eukaryota; Viridiplantae; Streptophyta; Magnoliopsida; Poales; Poaceae. The record is from RefSeq and is a predicted model, not a curated record.
UUCCCCUCCCCCCACCCCCCCGCGCCGCCAAAAGAAGAACAACCUAGGGUUAGGGUUGUGGAGGCGGCGGCUGCUAAAUUCCAGAUCCGAUCGCCAUGCCCGGGCUGGAGGAGGAGAUGUUCGUAGCCACCAUAGUCGCGCGAGAGUCGAAGGAGGAGGCCGCCAUGGCCACCGAAGUCGCGCCAGAGCCAGAGGAGAAGACCGUCGUCUUCCCCGAUUGGGUGAUGCUGGAUCGCUUCGGCCGCACCCACAGCCAUGCCGACCUAGACGCUGCACGUGAGGCGGCCAAUAAGAAGAAGACCGCCGUUGAAGUCGUCACGGCCACCGGCCACCGCUGCUUCUUGUCCUUCGCCCUCUCGGAUCCUCCAGAGGUCUCUUACCUCGAUCUCGAGUGGCCGCGGGAAGGCUCAGUCGAACCCGUGGCCCCCUCCCGCCUGCCCGCGUAUCCCUACGUCCGGGCAACUGACGAGGACCUCGUCCUCUUCGAAAUCAACAUCCCAAGACAGCUCCACGACUUGCCGUCAGAUCUGUUCGUCUACACAGCUGGUCGUACCCCCUCGGUGGAUCAGCUCCCUCUGUACACUGAGCCCAUGGUAAGCCCGUUUCUGAUGUCAAAAUUCGACACAGGCAUCCUGCGCCUCCCGGACAACAGCUACAUCGUUUCCGACAUCAAGGUCUACCAUAAAGAGAAUGGCCCUGACAAUUAUUCCAUGUUUGUCGAGCUCUACGUCUUCAACUCCAAGACCAAAGAGUGGAAACGCUUCCCCGAGAUGCCUGCCCCCCAGCCGCAAGACGAGAGCAAUACCCAGUUCCCCAUCCUCUGGUCAACUGAGGAGGUGCUUGCUUUCGGCCACAGGUUCCUCUGCUGUGUCGACUACUUGAGCGGUGUCCUGCUAUGCGACUUCUCUCCAAUUUAGAGUCCCCGGUGCUCCACUUCGUGCCUUUCCAUGGAGGAGAUGGGUACUCUGAGAAGCUACAGAUCAUGCCUUUCCUUGGAGGAAAAGAGAACGCUAAGAAGGAACAGAUGGCAAAGUGCUUAGCGGAGAGAUUCCGACGUGUGUCCGUCAGCCAAGGCAUGAUGCACUUUGUCCGCAUUGAUGGCUGGCGUCCGCCUCUUGAGAGAAUCCAAGGGCAGCAGCAGCCUCUCCAAAAGAUCACAGUAUGGACUUUGGAUAUCGGGGAUGGUAGCAAGUUCAAGUGGAAGAUUCAUUGGGGGAUCAACCUGGAUCUUCUCUCUGGGCGCAAGAUGGUUUCCAUGCUCUGGACAUACCUCGCUGUCUUCCCCAGUUCCCAGUCGUCUGUGCGAACAAUCCGGACGCCCUAUGCUGCCUGUUGAGGAAAGAGGAACUUUCUGGACAGCCGUGGAUGAUCAUGGUUGACAUGAACCAGGAAGAUCUGCAGCCAUCUACUAAAUAUAUCAAUCAAAUCUUCUUUUCUCAUCUGCCCCUACUUCCAACUGUCUUCUCCAAAUACCUUGUAAGGCCAACAGUGAUACCCCGGGACAACAAGCUCAAGCUCGCAGCUAGCUCUUCAGAGGAGAUUAUGCCCAUAACUGGAGAAAGCUUAAGUUUGCAAUGUGAAUUCCAAGACCUGAAAACUGAUGACCCGGCUUGGAACCUUCUUCUGGUUGGUCACACAAAAGAUGGUAUUUGUCCUGAAUGUCAUGGGAAUGUCAUGGGAUGAGGAUGAUGGGAUGAGGAUGUGUACUACCUCUAUCCCAAAAUAAGUGUCUCAAGUUUAGUACUCCCUCCGUCCCAUAAUAUAGGAACGUUAUUGACAAUCUCAACUUUAGUAUAAAGUUGUACUCAGUGUCAAUAACGUUCCUAUAUUAUGGGACGGAGGGAGUACAAACUAAAGUUGAGAUACUUAUUUUGGGACGGAGGGAGUAUUAAAUACCUAUGUCAGUAAGAGUAAACGAUACAUGUUCUGGAUCCUGUAAUCAUAUGUUUAAGACCCCGUAUCUCAAAAGUUUGAGAUUGAAAGCCUUCUCUUUUUAUUCUUUCUCGCAUAAUAAAUCAAGCGGGUUUUGCAGGCAA